Long non-coding RNA from Eriocheir sinensis (Chinese mitten crab), 6569 nucleotides. RefSeq lists it as uncharacterized. The record is from RefSeq and is a predicted model, not a curated record. NCBI's taxonomy places the organism in Eukaryota, Metazoa, Arthropoda, Malacostraca, Decapoda, Varunidae. The transcript has 2 exons.
GUUAGGAAGCAGAUAAGUUGAAGGUUUUUAAGUGGGGAGGAAUGGGGUUAGGGUGGGGUGGGGAGGGGUUUGGGGGUGAUUGAGGGAAAUAGGAUGUUAUGAAAAGUGGGAUUAUUGGGGAUUGGGGAGGUAAAGUUGGGGAUUAGGAGAUUAGAACGAUUAUUAUCAUUAUUAUUAUUAUUAUUAUUAUUAUUAUUAUUAUUAUUAUUAUUAUUAUUAUUACUAUGUUUGCUUAUUUAUUUAUUCAUUACAUUAGUACGUGUAUGUGUUUGUGUAUGCUACUUUGACAUGUGUGUAUGUAUUUAUGUACGUUAUGUGCGUGUGUGUGUGUGUGUUUAGGGUGCCGUAGUAUAUGCUCAUGUGUUCGUCAUGUGGUGUGUGUGUGUGUAUGUAUGUAUUACCCAACCCAUCUGUGUACGUGCUGUGUGUGUGUGUGUGUGUGUGUGUGUGUGUGUGUGUGUGUGUGUGUGUGUGUGUGUUUUGGCAGGUGAUAUGUUUAAUGAUGGGUGUGUGGGGAGAGGGGCAACAGGUGGGAUUUAGGGGGAUUGGGGAGGAGAGGGUGGGGAGGUAGGGAGGGUUAUGGGGAGGAGGGUCUUACGUCUUACAAGUGUUUGAAUAAGGGGGAGGGGGAGGUUAGGGUAUAAAAAACGGGAGGGGGAAGGGGGGAGAGGAGAUAAGGAAUGAAGUGACUUGAAGUGGGGAAGAAGUGAGGAUGGGAUAAAGGAAGGAGUUGGGGAAUGUUGGGAAAAGAGAAAGGGGAAGAAAAGAUGAAAUUGGGAAUGAAGUGUCUGAUAGGAAUAGGGAAGUGAGGAUGGAAUAAAGGAGUUGGGGAAUGUUGGGGAAAGAGAAAGGGGAAGAAAAGGUGAAAUUAGGGAAGAGAGAAAAGAAAUAGUAAAGAUGGGGAGAAGAAAGGGAAAGAAAAUGGGGUUAUGUAAAUGGGAAGAAGGGGAGGGAAAAAAACGUAGAUGGGGAAUAGGAGGGAGUGGGGAAAAAGGGGGAAUAGCUACGUGGGGAAGAGGGAGAUGUUGAAAUGGUUUUAGUGCAAUGGUAACCCCUUUUUUUCUAAUUCCCCAACCUCUUUAUAAUUCCCCAACCCCUUUUUCUAAUUCCCCAACCUCUUUAUAAUUCCCCAAGCUCUCUUUAUAAUUCCCCAACCUCUUAUACCCCCUUAACCUCUUCCCCAAUCCCUUAUUCCCCAUCCCAACCCCUAAUCCCCUCCCUAACCCUCUUAUUUUUCUCCCCUUCCCCAAUUUCUCUCCCCAAUCCCAACCCCAUACUCCCCUCCACACCCCACUCUUCCCCUCCCUAACCUUCCAUUUCCGUCCCCAAUCCUCUUCAAUCCCCAUAUUCCCCUCCAAUCUCCAUAUUCCUCUCCCCAACCUGCCAUCCCCCACCUUCAACCCUUUUUCCCCAUCAAUUCUUCAUCCUCUAUCUCUUCCCCAUCAUCUGUUACACGUUCAUCCCCUUUGCCCUUAAUCCAACUCCUCCCCAAGCCUUUCCUCCCCAACCUUACCUCUUAUUUAACUCACCUGUCCCACCCUUUACCUGGCCUCUUACCUCCCCUCCUUUCCUCCCCCCUCCUCCUCACCCCCUCUUCCUCCCCACCACUACAUCCCUCUUUGUCCUACCUUCUCCCCCCCCCCCCUCCACAAUCCCCACGUUCCUACCUUCUCUCCUCCCCAUUUCUCCAAUCCUCCUCCUCUCCCUGUUCUUACCUUCCCAUCUGUUACCAUGUCCCUCCCCUUCUUCCCCAGAUACCCUCCCCAACCUCUCCUAACCUACUUUUUUUUUCACCCCAAAUUCCCCAACCAACCCCACCCUCCCCUCCUCUUCCCCUCCUUCCCCACCUUAAUCCCCUCUUGUCAUUCUGGUGUUAGUGUGGUGGUGGGGAUGGGGGGAUGAGGGGGAUUGGUGCGGUUCCAACUGUCGGCGCCAUCCCCAUCCCCCCCUUCUUCACCCCCUCCCUUUCCCCCUUCCUCCCCACUCAUCUUUGGGACACGACACGGCCACUGGCGCCUCUGGGUCAUUUCUUGGGGGGUUGGGGAAGAAGGGGAAGGGGGGUAUCAAGGUGUUGGGGGUGAGGACAAAAGGGGUGAUAUAAGAGCUGUGUUGGGGAGGAAAGGAAGGAGGGGAGGGGAAGGGGAUGACAUUGUGCUGGGGAGGAAGAGGAGAUGGAGGGGAGGGUAGUCUAGUAACCUUGUGUUGGGGAAUAGUGGGGAGGAGGAGGGGGAGUGUUGGGGAGGUUAGAUUGUCCUGAUAGGGAGGGAUGACAUUGAGUUGGGGAGGGCGUUAAAAAAGAGGGUGUGUAGUAACCUUGUGUUGGGGAAUAGUGGGGAGGAGGAGGGGGAGUGUUGGGGAGGUUAGAUUGUCCUGAUAGGGAGGGAUGACAUUGAGUUGGGGAGGGCGUUGAAAAAGAGGGUGAGUGUAGUAACCUUGUGAUGGGGAAUGGUGGGGAGGAAGGGGAGUGUGUGGGGAAGGUUCAGCUCGUCUAGUGUUGGGGGAUUGUGAAGUUGGGAGUCAAAUUAGAAAUGAGGGGAUUAAUGGGGAGGAAGGUGUUAAAUUCCCUUCUAAUUGGGGAUGUGUAAGUUGGGAGUGGGGAAGGGGGGGUGGGGAAGCAUUCAUUUGGGGAGAAUGUGGUGGGGAUGGUGCGAUUUGAGAAUGACCUUGUGUGUGUGUGUGUGUGUGUGUGUGUGUGUGUGUGUGAAAGAGAGAGAGUUAGUAAUGCAUAACUUCCGUUCCAUUGUAAAAGAGAGAGAGAGAGAGAGAGAGAGAGAGAGAGAGAGAGAGAGAGAGAGGACACACUAAAUUUAAAUGCACAUAGUAACAGCGAGAAUAAUACUAAUGUUUUCUCUUUCUUUAAUAUAAGUUAUAAAUAGUCGAUUUAUUAUUCUUGCAUCAAUCUCAAAACACUCCCAUCUAUUUUUGUAUUAAUAAUGUGUUGCUGUUUGUAUGUAUAAUUGGAGCUCCCCCGUUUUCUCUUUUUUUUUUUUUAGUGGGGGGUGAAAUAUCAACUAGAACAUCUGUAACAAUUCUCUACUUGUAUUUAUUAUCUGACAUAUGUUCAUUUUCUUUCAUAUAAGUAAAACGUGGGAAAAGAACAUUCACUUUUUCUUAUUUAUUUUUCUCAUUCUUAUCUGUUUGUAUUAAUAAGUAGCUCUCCCGUUUUCUGUAUCAAUGAGUGUAGCUCUCCCGUUUUCUUCUUAUAUUUAGCGGUUUCUUUCUCUUUUUGGGUGAAAUGUCAACUAGAACAUCUUAACCAUUUGUCUCACUUAUAUUACUUGCUGACAUUUGUUCUUUAUUUUUUUCUUUCAUGUAAGUAGAACGUGGGAAAAGCACAGCCACUUAUGUCUCACUUAUUUGCUACAUUCAUUUCGUUCUCAUUUUUAAGCACGUUCACUUAUUUCUUACUAUUUGCUACAUUCAUUUCGUUCUCAUUUUUAAGCACGUUCAUUUAUUUCUUCCUUAUUUACUACAUUAAUUUCGUGCUCAUUUUUUUAAGCACGUUCAAUUAUUUCUUACUUAUUUACUACAUUAAUUUCGUUCUCAUUUUUAAGCACGUUCAAUUAUUUCUUACUUAUUUACUACAUUAAUUUCGUGCUCAUUUUUUUAAGCACGUUCAAUUAUUUCUUACUUAUUUACUACAUUAAUUUCGUUCUCAUUUUUAAGCACGUUCAAUUAUUUCUUACUUAUUUACUACAUUAAUUUCGUGCUCAUUUUUUUAAGCACAUUCAGUUAUUUCUUACUUAUUUACUACAUUAAUUUCGUGCUCAUUUUUUUAAGCACAUUCAGUUAUUUCUUACUUAUUCAGCACAUUCCCUUGUUUCUCUUUUAUCACAUUCACUUCGUUUUCUCAUUCCUAUUGACCCUAUUUUUCAUACUGUACACUCGUCUCGCAAACCAGUAAUAUUUCAAUAAUCUAACUUUUUUCUCUAUUGUACAAAACUUGCGUAACACUCUACAUUUCACUAGUUUCUUGUAUUACAUUUUUAUAUUCUUUCUUGUUAACCUUUUUUUUUUUUCUUUUCUCUUAUUAUUUUUGUUCGGUUCCUAUUUUCAUUUUUCUUUUGUUUUUGUUUUCUUUCAUCCAGGAUCAUUAACUUUUUAUAUUCAACCAUUAACCUUUUUCUUGUUCUUUGACAUUAACCUUUAUUUUUUAUCAUUAAACUCUAAUCUCUUUUCUACCAUUAGUCUUUACCUUUAACCUUUCUUUUUUAUCAUUAAGCUCUAAUCUAUUUUCUACCAUUAGUCUUUACCUUUAACCUUACCUCUUUCCCUACCCUUUAACCUUAUAUAUAUUUUUUUUUCAUUAACCUCUUCAGUAUCAGAAAACAUAACCUGCAUAACCAUUAACAUUUCAAUCUCUUCUGUAACACUUUUUUUUUUUUAUUUAUUUUUAUUAACCUCCUUCUGUUAUUUUUUAGUCGUAUUCAAACAUACCUUACAUGCCAAUAACAUUUCAAUCUCUUCUGCAACACACAUUUUAUCUUCAUUCCUCUUACCCUCUUUCUUUCUUUCUCUUGUGAUCGUCAAAACAUACCAACUUACAUACCAAUGAAAUCUCAAUCAUUUCUGCAACACACAUUUUAUCUUCAUUCCUCUUAACCUCUUUCUUUCUUUCUCUUGUGAUCGUCAAAACAUACCAACUUACAUACCAAUGAAAUCUCAAUCAUUUCUCCAACACACAUUUUAUCUUCAUUCCUCUUAACCUCUUUCUUUCUUUCUUUCUCCUCCUGUGAUCCUCAAAACAUACCUCACAUAUCAACACCAACAUUUCAAUCUGUUUUUCUUCUUUUCUUAUCUCUUCUUCGUCCCUUUGAUCUUCGGGUCAAUGAACUCUAAACUACGGAUGUUGGAGGAGGAGAAGGAGGAGGAGGAAGAGAUAAUUGAGUCCGGUGGGUACUUGUGGUGGGGGAGAGAAAGAGAGAGAGGGUGGGAGAGCAAGGGAGAGAGAGAAAAAGAGAGAGAUUUGUUGAAACGUAUAUAUCCAUCUUCGAAAACAUUCCCUUCUUCGGUAAAUAAACAAAGUAUAUAAACAAGUAAACACAAAUAACAACCUUCAUAAUAGCAAGACACAUUAGCGGCGUGAGUGCCUAAGUAAACAAACAAGUGUACAUACAAAUAAGGCUAAGAAAACAUUAUAAACAACAUGUAUUUAGUUUUAAGCAAGGACGUAACCUCAUAGCAACCAACCACCCCACAUGUCUUCACUCCUUCAUCUUUUACCUCGAUCUCUAACUCUCCCUUAACCCGGUAGCAGCGACGGGCCAAAUUUGUGGCUUUACCAUGUAGCAGCGACGGGCCACAUUUUUGCCAUGAUAUAAACCCACAAAAACAGAUGAUGCAUAAACUGAUCACAAAUGCGUUGAUAUAUAUUAUGAAAUGGUUUGCGUGAGUGAUGACUUUUUCUCAUUUUCUCGCUUAGAGGGACCUUUAAGAAACAUGAUCCCCGCAGCUACCAGGUUAAGGGGCUAUCUCACUGGGCAAAUUUUCCGUGGAUCUUCAGUCAAACUACGAUUUCCGCUGGCGUGGUUCUCAUAUUUCCGUGGUUUUCUGGCGGGUCCGCAAUAUUCCAAAGCUAUGGUAGAUUUCACAAAAGUACGACGGUAUUACUCACCAUCAUCAUCAGCAGCAGCAGCAAUAACAAGAAACAUAUGACAACCACGCUAGCGGAAAUCGUGGUUUGACUGAAGAUCCACGGAAAAUUUGCCCAGUGUAAUAGUCCCUUAAUCUAUCCCUACCUCAGUCUUCCCCAGUCUCCCCCCUCCAAUUUUACCGUCAUUGUUACCCAGUCAAACCUUACCCAUUUAGCUUUCCCUACUCAUCCAACCUUACCCCAAUCUUACCCCUUCAACCUUUACCUAAUCUCCCCCCCCCCCUCUAGCUUUUCCUUACCCAUCAAACCUUACCCAUUUAGCUUUCCUUACUCAUCCAACCUUACCCCAAUCUCACCUCUUCAACCCUUACCUAAUCUUCCCCCCCCCCCUCUAGCUUUUCCUUACCCAUCAGACCUUACCCUCUUUUCCCCUCUGACCUAUCCCCCCCACCGCAACCCUUCCAAAUUUACCCUCAACCCCUCCUCUUCACACCCUAUCAACCUCAUCUGUAAUCCAUCCUAACCUCACCCCAAGCUCCCAAACCUUUAACCAACUCCCUUCCCACACAUGUACCUCCCCAAUUUGAACCCAAGAUUGUGCAACCCCCAACCUCACCCCCAAACUGUGCACCCCAACCUCAUCAAAUUCUCACACCCCAACUCCCUUCCCACACUCGACCCCCCCCAAUUUGACCCCAAGACUGUGCAACCCCCAACCUCACCCCCAAACUGUGCACCCCAACCUCAUCCCAUUCUCACACCCCAACCCUGCCACUCCAUUUCCAACCCUCCCAACGACCCCGAACUUCACCAUCCUCUCCUCCCACCCCAACCAAACCCAGUUACGUAAUUAAACAAACACACACAAAAAAAGGCAAAGUGGCACAGUUAUUCACUAAGCACACAGUUGAUUGUUUAUGUGUGUGUGUGUGUGUGUGUGUGUGUGUGUGUGUCAGUCAGUCAACUCUAAACAAAA